Molecule: ribosomal RNA, 468 nt
Filed under: uncultured bacterium
Lineage: Bacteria
Description: partial 16S ribosomal RNA
Rfam family: Bacterial small subunit ribosomal RNA
Source: RNAcentral
GACGAACGCUGGCGGCGUGCUUAACACAUGCGAGUCGAACGGAAAGGCCCUGCUUUUGUGGGGUGCUCGAGUGGCGAACGGGUGAGUAACACGUGAGUAACCUGCCCUUGACUUUGGGAUAACUUCAGGAAACUGGGGCUAAUACCGGAUAGGAGCUCCUGCUGCAUGGUGGGGGUUGGAAAGUUUCGGCGGUUGGGGAUGGACUCGCGGCUUAUCAGCUUGUUGGUGGGGUAGUGGCUUACCAAGGCUUUGACGGGUAGCCGGCCUGAGAGGGUGACCGGCCACAUUGGGACUGAGAUACGGCCCAGACUCCUACGGGAGGCAGCAGUGGGGAAUAUUGCACAAUGGGCGGAAGCCUGAUGCAGCAACGCCGCGUGCGGGAUGACGGCCUUCGGGUUGUAAGCCGCUUUCGCCUGUGACGAAGCGUGAGUGACGGUAAUGGGUAAAGAAGCACCGGCUAACUACGUG